AAUGAACGCUGGCGGCAUGCCUAACACAUGCAAGUCGAACGAGACCUCCGGGUCCAGUGGCGCAUGGGUGCGUAACGCGUGGGAAUCGGCCCUCGGGGUUGGAAUAACUCGCCGAAAGGCGUGCUAAUACCGGACGAUGACGUAAGCCCAAAGAUUUAUCGCCCAAGGAUGAGCCCGCGUUGGAUUAGCUAGUUGGUGAGGUAACGGCUCACCAAGGCGACGAUGCAUAGCUGGGUUGGGAGGAUGAUUAGCCACACGGGAACGGAGAAACGGCCCAGACGCCGACGGGAGGCAGCAGUAGGGAAUAGUCGGCAAGGGGCGAAAGCCUGACGGAGCAACACCGCGUGAGUGAUGAAGGUCUUCGGAGCGGAAAACUCUGUUAGUAGGGAAGAAAAGAUGCGGAAGAAACUGGGCACAUCUUGACGGUACCUAAACAGAAAGCCACGGCUAACUCCGUG
RNAcentral lists this ribosomal RNA (458 nucleotides) under uncultured bacterium. Its description in RNAcentral is "partial 16S ribosomal RNA". It matches the Rfam family "Bacterial small subunit ribosomal RNA", at positions 29 to 507 of the family's 1533-position model. The record is from RNAcentral.